AAGUGCUUGCACUUCGUUGACGACCGGCGAACGGGUGCGUAACGCGUAUGCAACCUACCUUCUACAGGGGAAUAGCCCAGAGAAAUUUGGAAUAAUACCCCAUACGGUCAUUUAAUGGCAUCAUUAAAUGAAGAAAACUCCGGUGGUAGAAGAUGGGCAUGCGUCCUAUUAGUUAGUUGGUAAGGUAAUGGCUUACCAAGACACCGAUAGGUAGGGGUCCUGAGAGGGAGAUCCCCCACACUGGUACUGAGACACGGACCAGACUCCUACGGGAGGCAGCAGUGAGGAAUAUUGGACAAUGGAGGCAACUCUGAUCCAGCCAUGCCGCGUGCAGGAAGACGGCCCUACGGGUUGUAAACUGCUUUUAUACAGGAAGAAUUAUACCUACGUGUAGGUAUUUGACGGUACUGUAAGAAUAAGGAUCG
Molecule: ribosomal RNA, 425 nt
Filed under: uncultured Flavobacteriaceae bacterium
Lineage: Bacteria; Pseudomonadati; Bacteroidota; Flavobacteriia; Flavobacteriales; Flavobacteriaceae
Description: bacterial SSU rRNA
Rfam family: Bacterial small subunit ribosomal RNA
Source: RNAcentral